RNAcentral lists this transfer RNA (75 nucleotides) under Pseudomonadaceae bacterium. RNAcentral describes it as "tRNA-Thr". It matches the Rfam family "tRNA". Rfam says of the family: Transfer RNA (tRNA) molecules are approximately 80 nucleotides in length. The record is from RNAcentral. Lineage: Bacteria; Pseudomonadati; Pseudomonadota; Gammaproteobacteria; Pseudomonadales; Pseudomonadaceae.
GCUCAUGUAGCUCAGGGGUAGAGCACACCCUUGGUAAGGGUGAGGUCGUCGGUUCAAUUCCGACCAUGAGCUCCA